Molecule: ribosomal RNA, 484 nt
Filed under: uncultured bacterium
Lineage: Bacteria
Description: partial 16S ribosomal RNA
Rfam family: Bacterial small subunit ribosomal RNA
Source: RNAcentral
AUUGAACGCUGGCGGCAGGCCUAACACAUGCAAGUCGAGCGGAUGAAGGGAGCUUGCUCCUGGAUUCAGCGGCGGACGGGUGAGUAAUGCCUAGGAAUCGGCCUGGUAGUGGGGGAUAACGUCCGGAAACGGGCGCUAAUACCGCAUCCGUCCUGAGGGAGAAAGUGGGGGAUCUUCGGACCUCACGCUAUCAGAUGAGCCUAGGUCGGAUUAGCUAGUUGGUGGGGUAAAGGCCUACCAAGGCGACGAUCCGUAACUGGUCUGAGAGGAUGAGCAGUCACACUGGAACUGAGACACGGUCCAGACUCCUACGGGAGGCAGCAGUGGGGAAUAUUGGACAAUGGGCGAAAGCCUGAUCCAGCCAUGCCGCGUGUGUGAAGAAGGUCUUCGGAUUGUAAAGCACUUUAAGUUGGGAGGAAGGGCAGUAAGUUAAUACCUUGCUGUUUUGACGUUACCAACAGAACAAGCACCGGCUAACUUCGUG